AUUGAACGCUGGCGGCAUGCCUUACACAUGCAAGUCGAACGGCAGCACGGGAGCAAUCCUGGUGGCGAGUGGCGAACGGGUGAGUAAUACAUCGGAACGUGUCCUGUAGUGGGGGAUAGCCCGGCGAAAGCCGGAUUAAUACCGCAUACGCUCUACGGAGGAAAGGGGGGGAUCUUAGGACCUCCCGCUACAGGGGCGGCCGAUGGCAGAUUAGCUAGUUGGUGGGGUAAAGGCCUACCAAGGCGACGAUCUGUAGCUGGUCUGAGAGGACGACCAGCCACACUGGGACUGAGACACGGCCCAGACUCCUACGGGAGGCAGCAGUGGGGAAUUUUGGACAAUGGGCGAAAGCCUGAUCCAGCAAUGCCGCGUGUGUGAAGAAGGCCUUCGGGUUGUAAAGCACUUUUGUCCGGAAAGAAAACGUCGUGGUUAAUACCCGUGGCGGAUGACGGUACCGGAAGAAUAAGCACCGGCUAACUACGUGCCAGCAGCCGCCGUAACAC
This 503-nucleotide ribosomal RNA is filed under the name uncultured bacterium. Its description in RNAcentral is "bacterial SSU rRNA". It matches the Rfam family "Bacterial small subunit ribosomal RNA", at positions 29 to 526 of the family's 1533-position model. The record is from RNAcentral.